ACUCCUACGGGAGGCAGCAGUGGGGAAUAUUGCACAAUGGGGGAAACCCUGAUGCAGCCAUGCCGCGUGUGUGAAGAAGGCCUUCGGUUGUAAAGACACUUUCUAGUAGGGAGGAAGGUAGUGUAGUUAACACCUGCAUUAUUUGUACGUUACCUACAGAAGAAGCACCGGCUAACUCCGUGCCAGCAGCCGCGGUAAGUACGGAGGGUGCGAGCGUUAAUCGGAAUUACGUGGGCGUAAAGCGCAUGCAGGCGGCCUGUUAAGUCAGAUGUGAAAGCCCGGGGUCUUAACCUCGGAAUUGCAUUUGAAACUGGCAGGCUAGAGUCUUGUAGAGGGGUUAGGAAUUUCAGGUGUAGCGGUGAAAUGCGUAGAGAUCUGAAGG
Molecule: ribosomal RNA, 382 nt
Filed under: uncultured bacterium
Lineage: Bacteria
Description: bacterial SSU rRNA
Rfam family: Bacterial small subunit ribosomal RNA
Source: RNAcentral